AAAAAAAAGUUCCACUUUGCAGUAAUUUUCCUCCAGCUCAGACACCACUGGUGGUUGUGACGUGAUGCUUCGCAUGUACCUGCUCACCUCUUUCAUGCUGCUGCUGCCACCGGGCUUUGGAAAGUUUCUCCCUCCUGUCAGCGUGUGGUACUUCUUCUCCAGGGCGCACAGCAUGUCUUGUUCCUGAAAGCCAGAACCAACAUGGAUAUUCAGCCUUUCACAGUCUUGAGAUGCCUGUAACCCCAGCUGCUUUACCUGAGCUUCCAGAGCAGCCAUCUUUUCCUGCAAAUCAACACAACCAGUUUCUUCUUCUGGAGCCUCCACCUGCUCCUGCUCUGCCCGCCGCUCUGCCUGCAGCAGGGCUUGCUCCAUCUCCACCUACAGACAAAUAUGGAGUCAGAGUCUGCAAGUCAACAAAUACCAUAAAGAGCUUCUGCUCCUCUUACUGCAUUGCUGCUGCUCCAGCUCACUGACUCUGUGUUUCAAAUCAUCAACCCUGGCCAGGAUCCUGUUCCUCUCCUCCUCCAGACUCCUCUCUCUGGAUUUCCUCGUCGUUCUCCCUCACCCUCUGGUUUCGGCCGUCUCCCAGGAGAGCCAUCCCACCUCCCAAGUCCGAACAAAGUCCUCUACCAGCACCCAGCAGACCACUCUUCACCAGCUCCACAGAGCCGUCCUCAUGAUUAUACUCUGCGCACAAAUUCAGGAUGGUCUCCAGUCUCUGUCGCUCCUUUAGAAGAGAUGCAAAAUGUAAGCACGGCUGAUAUUAGAGAUCACUGUAUAGAUUCGUGUCCUUGAGUGACAUUGUCCCAUUUAGGCAGCUGUCCCUCUGCCGCUGGCAUGGGACAACGGUAACCCGAUAGCAGCGGGGCUGAAGCUGAUGCAGACUGUCUCUCGGGAGGGGGCUUCUUGGUCAAACCUGUCUGAGCUGCUUGAGUUGUUUAUGAAAACACAGUCUGCUGUAACUAAGAAAUCCCAAAAAUGCAAGAUCUGUGUGUGCUGGAUGAAUGUAUUGCGGUAGAUGUUGCACUUUUUUACAAACUUAUUUUUUUGCCUACUGCAUCAUCUCACAUGGUUUGAACUUGUGGCCCAGUGUUGUCUCUCAUUACAGCAGACAAUAGCAUGUUUGCUUUAAUACUAAAAUGAUGUGGAAUAUGUAAUCAUCAUUCCAGCGAGGCGUCUGGCAAUACGAGGUACAAUUGUAUCCAAUGUGCUUCUUCCUGUACUCUCCUUUUGUCUGCUACAUAAAAAAAAUCAGCCAUUUAAAACCACCAGCUCUGUUGUUGCAAGAUUUACUCCUCAGACUGUUUGAAGGAAAAAAGCUGUACUAUGAAAACUAUGAAAUGACAUUUUAGAUUAGGAAAAGGGGCUAAAUAUAUAGAUAUAAAGUCAACGUAAACCAUAAAAUGGUUUAAUAGAUUGUAACGCUAAUUAUUUAAAGCUAUAUGUUAUUACAUUUUUAAUACAAGUGAGCAUAGUGAAGCAGGUUUUAAGUUGAAUAUUCAACAUUAAUUCUUACUUAGUUUCACCCUUAUUUGCAUCAGUAGGCACAAUACAAAUUAUUCUAAUACCUCUGAGAUGUUGUCUCAUGGAGCACAGUUAUUCUGAAAAAUGUGUAUUUACAUAAAUAUCUUAGAUUUUCAGAUCUCCAGAUGCUGGAGAAUCUAGAUUUUCAUUAACUUCUUCUUUGGACACAAGCGACCAGUUUCUCCACUUCACCACGGUGUCUGCUUCACCUAAAGGUAAAUGCGUUUCAUUAUAAAGAAAAAAUGGGGAGUGUGGCAGUGUGCAGUGCCCACAUUUCAUGAACUCGAAGAAAAUUUAGCAUAUGCACUUUAUAACAACAUUUCCACACAAAUAUUAGUAAAUGAGGGCCACUGUCAGAAGCCAUGCUUGUUGGUUGUUUUUUAUUAUUGUAAUAUUUUAUAUUAUUUUAUCCAAUAAUUGUCCGUGAGGUAAUUUUUUGCAAUGAUCUCCACUCCUGGGAAGAAUGGCAAGUGUCUUGAAUGUUUUUACACUGGUGAAUAAUCUUCCUCACUGUAGAACGAUGCAUUUCAUAUUGAACAAGUGUGUACUUUUCUGUUCCACGUGACUGUAUGAGUUGUUACUAUAACCAACGAAGCAAAUGCAUGAAUUUCAUGUCUUAUAAAGGAAACUUUCUCAAUUAACUCCAGCUCUCUC
Long non-coding RNA from Neolamprologus brichardi, 2178 nucleotides. RefSeq lists it as uncharacterized. Lineage: Eukaryota; Metazoa; Chordata; Actinopteri; Cichliformes; Cichlidae. The record is from RefSeq and is a predicted model, not a curated record.